GUGAUUGUAGCUCAAUGGCAGAGCAUUCGGUUGUGGUCCGAAGGACGCCAGUUCGACUCUGGUCAGUCACC
This 71-nucleotide transfer RNA is filed under the name Candidatus Latescibacterota bacterium. RNAcentral describes it as "tRNA-His". It matches the Rfam family "tRNA". Rfam says of the family: Transfer RNA (tRNA) molecules are approximately 80 nucleotides in length. Lineage: Bacteria; Pseudomonadati; Candidatus Latescibacterota. The record is from RNAcentral.